This 471-nucleotide ribosomal RNA is filed under the name uncultured bacterium. RNAcentral describes it as "bacterial SSU rRNA". It matches the Rfam family "Bacterial small subunit ribosomal RNA", at positions 355 to 825 of the family's 1533-position model. The record is from RNAcentral.
UGGGGAAUCUUGCGCAAUGGGCGAAAGCCUGACGCAGCAACGCCGCGUGAGGGAAGAAGGCUUUCGGGUUGUAAACCUCUUUCAGGAGGGACGAAGCUUCCGGGGUUAAUAGCCUACGGGGUGACGGUACCUCCAGAAGAAGCCCCGGCUAACUACGUGCCAGCAGCCGCGGUAAUACGUAGGGGGCAAGCGUUGUCCGGAAUCAUUGGGCGUAAAGCGCGUGUAGGUGGCUUGGUAAGUCCGGUGUGAAACCUUGGGGCUCAACCCCAAGCCUGCAUCUGAUACUGCCUCGCUCGAGUUCGGGAGGGGAGAGCGGAAUUCCUAGUGUAGAGGUGAAAUUCGUAGAUAUUAGGAAGAACACCAGUGGCGAAGGCGGCUCACUGGUCCGGUACUGACGCUGAGGUGCGAAAGCGUGGGGAGCAAACAGGAUUAGAUACCCCUGUAGUCCCUGAGCGGGCUGGCAAGGCGCAU